GGUUAAGCGACUAAGCGUACACGGUGGAUGCCCUGGCAGUCAGAGGCGAUGAAGGACGUGCUAAUCUGCGAUAAGCGCCGGUAAGGUGAUAUGAACCGUUAUAACCGGCGAUUUCCGAAUGGGGAAACCCAGUGUGACUCGUCACACUAUCAUUAACUGAAUCCAUAGGUUAAUGAGGCGAACCGGGGGAACUGAAACAUCUAAGUACCCCGAGGAAAAGAAAUCAACCGAGAUUCCCCCAGUAGCGGCGAGCGAACGGGGAGGAGCCCAGAGCCUGAAUCAGCAUGUGUGUUAGUGGAAGCGUCUGGAAAGGCGCGCGAUACAGGGUGACAGCCCCGUACACAAAAGCGCAUGUGCUGUGAGCUCGAUGAGUAGGGCGGGACACGUGGUAUCCUGUCUGAAUAUGGGGGGACCAUCCUCCAAGGCUAAAUACUCCUGACUGACCGAUAGUGAACCAGUACCGUGAGGGAAAGGCGAAAAGAACCCCGGCGAGGGGAGUGAAAAAGAACCUGAAACCGUGUACGUACAAGCAGUGGGAGCCCCACCACUAAGCCAGUGGUGAACUCCACAUACGCAUCCUUUGCUGAGGAUACGGUUAACGGAGCGAAAGCGACGUUCAACCGCAAAAGAAGCAGAGGGGGCUUAGUGGUGGGGUGACUGCGUACCUUUUGUAUAAUGGGUCAGCGACUUAUAUUCUGUAGCAAGGUUAACCGAAUAGGGGAGCCGGAGGGAAACCGAGUCUUAAUUGGGCGUUAAGUUGCAGGGUAUAGACCCGAAACCCGGUGAUCUAGCCAUGGGCAGGUUGAAGGUUGGGUAACACUAACUGGAGGACCGAACCGACUAAUGUUGAAAAAUUAGCGGAUGACCUGUGGCUGGGGGUGAAAGGCCAAUCAAACCGGGAGAUAGCUGGUUCUCCCCGAAAGCUAUUUAGGUAGCGCCUCGUGAAUUCAUCUCCGGGGGUAGAGCACUGUUUCGGCUAGGGGGCCAUCCCGGCUUACCAACCCGAUGCAAACUGCGAAUACCGGAGAAUGUUAUCACGGGAGACACACGGCGGGUGCUAACGUCCGUCGUGAAGAGGGAAACAACCCAGACCGCCAGCUAAGGUCCCAAAGUCAUGGUUAAGUGGGAAACGAUGUGGGAAGGCCCAGACAGCCAGGAUGUUGGCUUAGAAGCAGCCAUCAUUUAAAGAAAGCGUAAUAGCUCACUGGUCGAGUCGGCCUGCGCGGAAGAUGUAACGGGGCUAAACCAUGCACCGAAGCUGCGGCAGCGACGCUGAUGCGUUGUUGGGUAGGGGAGCGUUCUGUAAGCCUGUGAAGGUGGCCUGUGAGGGUUGCUGGAGGUAUCAGAAGUGCGAAUGCUGACAUAAGUAACGAUAAAGCGGGUGAAAAGCCCGCUCGCCGGAAGACCAAGGGUUCCUGUCCAACGUUAAUCGGGGCAGGGUGAGUCGACCCCUAAGGCGAGGCCGAAAGGCGUAGUCGAUGGGAAACGGGUUAAUAUUCCCGUACUUGGUGUUACUGCGAAGGGGGGACGGAGAAGGCUAUGUUGGCCGGGCGACGGUUGUCCCGGUUUAAGCGUGUAGGUGUGUGUUCCAGGUAAAUCCGGUUCACUUUAACACUGAGGCGUGAUGACGAGGCACUACGGUGCUGAAGCAACAAAUGCCCUGCUUCCAGGAAAAGCCUCUAAGCAUCAGGUAACAUCAAAUCGUACCCCAAACCGACACAGGUGGUCAGGUAGAGAAUACCAAGGCGCUUGAGAGAACUCGGGUGAAGGAACUAGGCAAAAUGGUGCCGUAACUUCGGGAGAAGGCACGCUGACACGUAGGUGAAGUGAUUUACUCAUGGAGCUGAAGUCAGUCGAAGAUACCAGCUGGCUGCAACUGUUUAUUAAAAACACAGCACUGUGCAAACACGAAAGUGGACGUAUACGGUGUGACGCCUGCCCGGUGCCGGAAGGUUAAUUGAUGGGGUCAGCGCAAGCGAAGCUCCUGAUCGAAGCCCCGGUAAACGGCGGCCGUAACUAUAACGGUCCUAAGGUAGCGAAAUUCCUUGUCGGGUAAGUUCCGACCUGCACGAAUGGCGUAAUGAUGGCCAGGCUGUCUCCACCCGAGACUCAGUGAAAUUGAACUCGCUGUGAAGAUGCAGUGUACCCGCGGCAAGACGGAAAGACCCCGUGAACCUUUACUAUAGCUUGACACUGAACAUUGAGCCUUGAUGUGUAGGAUAGGUGGGAGGCUUUGAAGUGUGGACGCCAGUCUGCAUGGAGCCGGCCUUGAAAUACCACCCUUUAAUGUUUGAUGUUCUAACGUGGACCCGUGAUCCGGGUUGCGGACAGUGUCUGGUGGGUAGUUUGACUGGGGCGGUCUCCUCCUAAAGAGUAACGGAGGAGCACGAAGGUUGGCUAAUCCUGGUCGGACAUCAGGAGGUUAGUGCAAUGGCAUAAGCCAGCUUGACUGCGAGCGUGACGGCGCGAGCAGGUGCGAAAGCAGGUCAUAGUGAUCCGGUGGUUCUGAAUGGAAGGGCCAUCGCUCAACGGAUAAAAGGUACUCCGGGGAUAACAGGCUGAUACCGCCCAAGAGUUCAUAUCGACGGCGGUGUUUGGCACCUCGAUGUCGGCUCAUCACAUCCUGGGGCUGAAGUAGGUCCCAAGGGUAUGGCUGUUCGCCAUUUAAAGUGGUACGCGAGCUGGGUUUAGAACGUCGUGAGACAGUUCGGUCCCUAUCUGCCGUGGGCGCUGGAGAACUGAGGGGGGCUGCUCCUAGUACGAGAGGACCGGAGUGGACGCAUCACUGGUGUUCGGGUUGUCAUGCCAAUGGCACUGCCCGGUAGCUAAAUGCGGAAGAGAUAAGUGCUGAAAGCAUCUAAGCACGAAACUUGCCCCGAGAUGAGUUCUCCCUGAGACUUAGAGUCUCCUGAAGGAACGUUGAAGACGACGACGUUGAUAGGCCGGGUGUGUAAGCGCAGCGAUGCGUUGAGCUAACCGGUACUAAUGAACCGUGAGGCUUAACCUU
This 3007-nucleotide ribosomal RNA is filed under the name Salmonella enterica. Its description in RNAcentral is "23S ribosomal RNA". It matches the Rfam family "Bacterial large subunit ribosomal RNA". Lineage: Bacteria; Pseudomonadati; Pseudomonadota; Gammaproteobacteria; Enterobacterales; Enterobacteriaceae. RNAcentral also lists the same sequence under 1 other name. The record is from RNAcentral.